AGACACAAGGCAGGGAAGUGUCAGGCCUGAGGGCUGAGCCCCUGCUGAGGGAGAAGGAGGCUCGGGGCACGUGGGAGAAGUGCUGGGAAGGGCUGAGUGGUGGGGGCCGCAGAAAGUUCCAGUGGGCAACACUGUCGGCAGGUCAUGGGUGGGACUCACGGGGACCUCGCUGCUAACUCUUGUUGCGUUGGCAGAGUGGGGUGGGGGGAAGGGAGGAUCGUUAGUGCUGCCACCUGGAGUGAGAGCCACCCCUUGGUUCCUGAGGGCACCAUCAAGGGACACAGGACAGGAAGCCCAGGAUGGUGCUCCGUGGUGCUCUUGCUGCCAGCAAAGGUGGUCCGGAUCCCUUUGCCCAUCUCCCCUGUGACCGACAGCAGUUCCCUGUGGGUGCUCUGGGAGCCCUGGGCGCCAGGUGGUUUCAUGGCCUGCAUGCAGCCGAUGGAGGCGGUCCAAAGUCGUUAAAUAGCAGUUUGAAAGGGACAGCAGCUUCUGGCACCGAGCCCGACGGCGACAGGACGCUUCCUGUAGGGACCGGGGUG
Molecule: long non-coding RNA, 539 nt
Filed under: Macaca mulatta (Rhesus monkey)
Lineage: Eukaryota; Metazoa; Chordata; Mammalia; Primates; Cercopithecidae
Description: lncRNA (ENSMMUG00000058770.1)
Source: RNAcentral